GUGCUCACUUCAGUUGCACAUAUACUAAAAUUGGAAUGAUACGGAGAAGAUUAGCAUGCUCCCGCACAAGGAUGACAUGCAAAUUUGUAAAGUGUUCCAUAUUUAA
RNAcentral lists this small nuclear RNA (106 nucleotides) under Castor canadensis (American beaver). The record is from RNAcentral. Lineage: Eukaryota; Metazoa; Chordata; Mammalia; Rodentia; Castoridae.